Long non-coding RNA from Bombina bombina (fire-bellied toad), 335 nucleotides. RefSeq lists it as uncharacterized. The record is from RefSeq and is a predicted model, not a curated record. NCBI's taxonomy places the organism in Eukaryota, Metazoa, Chordata, Amphibia, Anura, Bombinatoridae. The transcript is spliced from 2 exons.
CGGGAGCGGAGCAGCCAGGGAUCACACAGCUCUGCACCGCUCAGCUAGGGACCUGCUGACAUCGAUUGUUUUUCCUUGCAAUCCUCAUAACAAAGAACUGAAACUUCAAACUGGACAAAGAAUUUAUUUAUAAGUUAAAAGUGCUUCAAAGUUUGUUUUGUAAAUGUUUAUGAUGUUUUUACUGCUUUUUUAAAAUUGAAACCUUUUAUGGAUAGAUAGAUAUAUUUAAAAAUAUGUUUUGCAAUAUAUAAUAUUUAAUGUAACAAUAUUGUAACAUCGUAUAUAAAAUAUAUUGAAACUAAGAUUUAUAAAUAAAUAUGUAUAAAUAUUAAAUA